RNAcentral lists this ribosomal RNA (328 nucleotides) under uncultured eukaryote. RNAcentral describes it as "partial 18S ribosomal RNA". It matches the Rfam family "Eukaryotic small subunit ribosomal RNA", at positions 1470 to 1796 of the family's 1831-position model. The record is from RNAcentral.
CCCUUAGAUGUCCGGGGCUGCACGCGUGCUACACUGAAGGAAUCAGCGUGCUAAAACCAUUGUCGAAAGGCAUUGGUAAACCCAUUAAAAUCCUACGUGAUUGGGAUCGGGAAUUGCAAUUAUUUCCCUUGAACGAGGAAUUCCCAGUAAGUGUGGGUCAUAAGCUCGCGUUGAUUACGUCCCUGCCCUUUGUACACACCGCCCGUCGCUGCCCGGGACUGAGCCGUUUCGAGAAAAGCGGGGACUGCUGCUGUCGGGGCUUUCGGGCCUUGGCUUCGGUGGAAACCGCUUUAAUCGCAGUGGCUUGAACCGGGCAAAANUCGUAACA